RNAcentral lists this ribosomal RNA (472 nucleotides) under Penicillium commune. Its description in RNAcentral is "eukaryotic LSU rRNA". The stretch from base 108 to 260 matches the Rfam family "5.8S ribosomal RNA". The record is from RNAcentral. Lineage: Eukaryota; Fungi; Ascomycota; Eurotiomycetes; Eurotiales; Aspergillaceae.
CCUUUACUGGCCGCCGGGGGGCUCACGCCCCCGGGCCCGCGCCCGCCGAAGACACCACCGAACUCUGUCUGAAGAUUGAAGUCUGAGUGAAAAUAUAAAUUAUUUAAAACUUUCAACAACGGAUCUCUUGGUUCCGGCAUCGAUGAAGAACGCAGCGAAAUGCGAUACGUAAUGUGAAUUGCAAAUUCAGUGAAUCAUCGAGUCUUUGAACGCACAUUGCGCCCCCUGGUAUUCCGGGGGGCAUGCCUGUCCGAGCGUCAUUGCUGCCCUCAAGCUCGGCUUGUGUGUUGGGCCCCGUCCUCCGAUUCCGGGGGACGGGCCCGAAAGGCAGCGGCGGCACCGCGUCCGGUCCUCGAGCGUAUGGGGCUUUGUCACCCGCUCUGUAGGCCCGGCCGGCGCUUGCCGAUCAACCCAAAUUUUUAUCCAGGUUGACCUCGGAUCAGGUAGGGAUACCCGCUGAACUUAAGCAUAU